Molecule: transfer RNA, 88 nt
Filed under: Anaerolineales bacterium
Lineage: Bacteria; Bacillati; Chloroflexota; Anaerolineae; Anaerolineales
Description: tRNA-Ser
Rfam family: tRNA
About the family: Transfer RNA (tRNA) molecules are approximately 80 nucleotides in length.
Source: RNAcentral
GGAUGGGUGGCCGAGUGGUUUAAGGCGCACGCCUGGAACGCGUGUGGGUGUCACAGCCUCGUGGGUUCGAAUCCCACCCCAUCCGCCA